GAUGAACGCUGGCGGCGUGCCUAAUACAUGCAAGUCGAGCGAACGGACGAGAAGCUUGCUUCUCUGAUGUUAGCGGCGGACGGGUGAGUAACACGUGGAUAACCUACCUAUAAGACUGGGAUAACUUCGGGAAACCGGAGCUAAUACCGGAUAAUAUUUUGAACCGCAUGGUUCAAAAGUGAAAGACGGUCUUGCUGUCACUUAUAGAUGGAUCAGCGCUGCAUUAGCUAGUUGGUAAGGUAACGGCUUACCAAGGCAACGAUGCAUAGCCGACCUGAGAGGGUGAUCGGCCACACUGGAACUGAGACACGGUCCAGACUCCUACGGGAGGCAGAAGUAGGGAAUCUUCCGCAAUGGGCGAAAGCCUGACGGAGCAACGCCGCGUGAGUGAUGAAGGUCUUCGGAUCGUAAAACUCUGUUAUUAGGGAAGAACAUAUGUGUAAGUAACUGUGCACAUCUUGACGGUACCUAAUCAGAAAGCCACGGCUAACUACGUG
Molecule: ribosomal RNA, 497 nt
Filed under: uncultured bacterium
Lineage: Bacteria
Description: partial 16S ribosomal RNA
Rfam family: Bacterial small subunit ribosomal RNA
Source: RNAcentral